Dufourea novaeangliae is the source of this 293-nucleotide long non-coding RNA. RefSeq lists it as uncharacterized. The transcript has 2 exons. NCBI's taxonomy places the organism in Eukaryota, Metazoa, Arthropoda, Insecta, Hymenoptera, Halictidae. The record is from RefSeq and is a predicted model, not a curated record.
UUCAUUUCGAUACAGUCAAAACAUAGACAGCAACAUGAGAACUGCAAGAAUCGUGCUUAACGUUGCGCUCACUUUGGCGAUCGCUACCAUUUCUCUUAUGUGCGCCACUGCUACAGCCGAACCUACUCCAGAUGCGGACCCUAUAGAUCCAGCAGUCAUUGCAUCUCUCGCUGGAAAAUGAAUGGUGUGCGAGAUGAAUCCUAUACGAAUGCGAAGUAAAUUUAGGGUUAUGUAGUUUCAAGUUUACAAUUCAACUGUGAAAUAUAUGAAAUAAAGAUUUAGGAUUCAAAAGA